This is a regulatory RNA element of 69 nucleotides. It matches the Rfam family "L2-Alphaproteobacteria ribosomal protein leader". The record is from Rfam.
GGCCACCUUCGGGGGGCUGAAACAUAACCCCGGAUCAAGUCCGGGGUGCUAGCUAACGGAAGACAGAAA